CCUACGAGCGUCAGCAGUGAGGAAUAUUGGUCAAUGGGCGCGAGCCUGAACCAGCCAAGUAGCGUGAAGGAUGACUGCCCUACGGGUUGUAAACUUCUUUUAUAAAGGAAUAAAGUGAGGCACGUGUGCCUUUAUGUAUGUACUUUAUGAAUAAGGAUCGGCUAACUCCGUGCCAGCAGCCGCGGUAAUACGGAGGAUCCGAGCGUUAUCCGGAUUUAUUGGGUUGAAAGGGAGCGCUGAUGGGUUGUUCAGUCAGGUGUGCAAGUUUGAGGAUCAACCGUAAACUUGAAAUUGAUACUGGCAGUCUUGAGUACAGUUGAGGUAGGCGGAAUGCGUGGUGUAGCGGUGAAAUGCUGAGAUAUCACGAAGAACUCCGAUUGCGAAGGCAGCGUACUAAACUGCCACUGACAUUGAUGCUCGAAAGUGUGGGUAUCAAACAGGAUGAGAUACCCCUGUAGUC
RNAcentral lists this ribosomal RNA (460 nucleotides) under uncultured bacterium. RNAcentral's name for it is "partial 16S ribosomal RNA". It matches the Rfam family "Bacterial small subunit ribosomal RNA", at positions 338 to 795 of the family's 1533-position model. The record is from RNAcentral.